Molecule: long non-coding RNA, 1265 nt
Filed under: Canis lupus familiaris (dog)
Lineage: Eukaryota; Metazoa; Chordata; Mammalia; Carnivora; Canidae
Description: lncRNA (ENSCAFG00000051964.1, ENSCAFG00805014320.1)
Source: RNAcentral
AGAUUUUAUUUAUUCAUGAGAGGCAGAGAGAGAGGCAGAGAGAGAGGCAGAGAUAGAAGCAGGCUCCAUGCAAGGAGCCCGAUACGGAACUCGAUCCCAGGACCCCCGGGGGAUCAUGCCCUGAGCUGAAGGCAGACACUCAACCACUGAGCCACCCAGGCAUCCCAAUAACAGGAUUUGUUUUGGAACUCGUGAAAUGAUCCUAACGUUCAUCUAGGGAAAAAAUGUUAUAUAUUUAUUAGGUACUACCAAAACAUAAAAAUGCAAAAGGACUGAAAGUUAAAGAAUGGAUAUACCAGACAAGUGUUAAAGGAAUAAUAGCAUUAACUAUAUUACUAUAGCAAUGAUUUUGAGACCAAAAAUAUCUCUAGGCAGUGUUUCAUUUAAGGCAAUAUAGUGAAUGAUAUAAACUAGUUAUCUAGAAAUUUAGGAUAAGAUAUAAUUUAAAACAUCAUUUUAGCUCACAGGAAAAUAUACCCAGGUACCAAAACUGAACAAGAAACUAAAACCAGAGUUUAGCUGCCCUCACUGCUUUGGCCAACACGACCAGAAAUAGUAGAAAUUUGAAGAUCUUGAUAUCUGCAGAGGUUGAAUUAUAAUAUUCAGGAAGCCACAUGACGCAAGGAGGAACUGGGGCUACACACACACACACACACACACACACACACCACAACCAACCAAAUGCCUGGACUCAUGAAAGUAAAAAUUAGAAAAAAAAAAAAAAAUCUUCCCACUAGCAAAGAGAGAUAACAAAGGUUAUAGUCCUUGCCUAGGUUUUGGAGUGAUAGUGGGGAUGUCCCCUAAGAAUUUAUAAUCAUAGUCUGUAUUACUGAGCACAGUUUAUUUUUAAAUUAUUUAUAUAUAUAUUUUUAGAUUUCAUUUAUUUAUUCAUGAGAGACACAGAGAAAGAGGCAGAGACACAAGCAGAGGGAGAAGCAGGCUCCAUGCAGGGAAGCUGAUGCGGAACUCGAUCCCGGGACUCUAGGAUAACGCCCUGGGCCAAAGGCACGCACUAAACCGCUGAGCCAUCCAGGAAUCCCUUAUUUUUUAUUGUUUUUUAAAAAAUAUUUUUUAAAUUUAUUUAUUCAUGAGAGACACAGAGAGAGAGAGGCAGAGAGAGAAGCAGGCUCCCCAAAGGGAGCCUGAUGUGGGACUCGAUCCUAGGAUCCCAGGAUCAUGACCUGAGCCAAAGGCAGGCAUUCAACACUGAGCCACCCAGAUGCCCCUGAGCACAGAGUUUAAAAUUAAUACUACCUACUGGACUA